GCCCGGUUGGCUCAGCGGUUGAGCAUCUGCCUUCGGCUCAGGGCAUGAUCCCAGGGUCCUGGGAUCGAGUCCCACAUUGGGUU
Non-coding RNA from Canis lupus familiaris (dog), 83 nucleotides. The record is from Rfam. NCBI's taxonomy places the organism in Eukaryota, Metazoa, Chordata, Mammalia, Carnivora, Canidae.